CGAAGGGGGCGUAGCGUUGCUCGGAAUUACUGGGCGUAAAGGGCGCGUAGGCGGCUUGGUUUAGUCAGGCGUGAAAUUCCCGGGCUUAACCUGGGGACUGCGCUUGAUACUGCUGGGCUUGAAGGGUGGAAGAGGGUCGUGGAAUUCCCAGUGUAGAGGUGAAAUUCGUAGAUAUUGGGGAAGAACACCGGUGGCGAAGGCGGCGACCUGGUCCAUUACUGACGCUGAGGCGCGACAGCGUGGGGGAGCAAACAGGAUU
This 259-nucleotide ribosomal RNA is filed under the name uncultured bacterium. RNAcentral's name for it is "partial 16S ribosomal RNA". It matches the Rfam family "Bacterial small subunit ribosomal RNA", at positions 526 to 779 of the family's 1533-position model. The record is from RNAcentral.